CCAUAGACGUAGCGAACUAUAUGUAUACCGUAUAGUGUACUACGUCGUACAUAAAUAAGUAUAUACAUUACCGAAAAGAAGCGUCCUAAUACAUUCAAGUAGUACAUAAAUUGCAUAAAGAAACAAUGGAAAAAUAUGAAGUAUUAAAGCAGGUUGGUGAAGGAUCCUUUGGACAAGUGUACAAAGCAAAGAAACGAUCCGACGGUGAAAUCGUAGCUUUCAAAGUGAUUCGAAAGCGUGGUAGAUCGUACAAGGAAUUGAGAAGUUUACGUCAAGAAUGUGAAAUUCAGCGCCAUCUUCAUCAUCCAAACAUAGUACAAAUGCUUGAUUCUUUUGAAACAGAUAACGAGAAAGCUUCAUUUUUUCUUCAGAUAGUGGUUGUAACAGAAUACGCGGACAAGGAAUUAUACGAAAUAUUAGGUAAAGCAGGCCGUUUGUCCGAACAGAGAGCCCAAGUAAUUGCUUGUGAUCUUGUUUCUGCACUCUACUACUUGCACUCGAACAGAGUACUGCACAGGGAUCUUAAACCACAAAAUGUCCUCCUCGAAAGCAACGGAGUGGCAAAGUUAUGUGAUUUUGGAUUUGCUCGCAGUAUGAGUACAGGAACGCAUGUAUUAACCUCUAUAAAGGGAACCCCAUUGUAUAUGGCUCCAGAACUAAUAGAAGAACGUCCUUACGAUCAUAACGCGGAUUUAUGGUCUCUUGGUUGCAUAGUGUACGAACUAGUGGUAGGUUCUCCACCUUUUCAAACUACUUCUAUUCUACAUUUGGUCAGAUUGAUAAGAUUCGAAGCAAUAAAAUGGCCUGAUUUCAUCUCUGAAAAUUGUAAAAGCUUCUUACAGGGACUGCUACAAAAGGAUCCUUUGCAAAGACUAACCUGGCCUGCGCUUUUAGAACAUCCUUUUGUUAAAAAUAAAAUCGUAAUAGUAGGCGGGGCUGGACCUACACCAUUCACUACGCCUUUAUCCGCGAGUCAAGCCAGAGAGAAACAGCUGCAAUUGCAAAAUUUAACGAUACAACCUAUCGACCAUCAGUCUAAAUUUUUAGAGAAAGCUAUUAAAAAACUACACGAACAGGAAAGAACGAUCGAGGAACAUCAUCAAAGAACGUGUACGUCGCAUACUACACGAAUACGUCAGAUUCCCCACGGCCACUGCCAACAUGGAACAAAGCAGUGUUACAAUUUACGUCAUAGCGAACCAAGUGGAACAGAUUCUAGCACCAGCGUCGAUGUCCUUUUAGGAAAUCUUAGCUUAAGAGCGUCACUGAAAAGCCAAUUACUCUCUGCGGAUGAUGCGUUGUGUCAAAGUGAUUGUCUAGCCACCACUAGGAUCGUAGAAAGUAAAAAAGAGAUAUUGAAGUUCGAAGAGACGUCAAAUCGGGAACUAGCGAUUCGUUUCGACGAACAGCAACACCGCUAUCAUCACCAUUACCAUUACCAAGAACAAGAAAAAGAAAAAGAACAAGAACAAGAACAAAAUCAAUCGCAACGUCGAGAAACGAAAGAAACGGCGGCAAAAAAGAGUAUCGAUGACACGAUUUAUUCAGAGAAGGAGCGUCGAUGCGUUUCAACGGGUAACACCAGAUUACCCGACUGGGAUCCAAAAGCUGUCGAAAGACCGAUCGAAAACGAAGAAUGGAUCGCGUUUUUGCAACGAUCCAUGGAGGAGGUUAUGGAAGGAGAAGUAGGAUCGUUGCUUCAGCAAAAUUGUGUAUCGGUAUUCGUAUCUCCGUUGCGGAAUCCAGCCGCUGGUUGUCGAGUGGUCGAAUACGUUGCUUGUUUGUUAUCCUUACCGUUCGUCAUUUCAAUAACCAAAGACACAUUGGAAAAGAUCGCGCAGGUGUAUUUGGACGUCAGGGUUGUACCGAAUCUCGUCUAUGCUCUAAAACUGUUAAUGUCCGAACGUUUCGAGUCCGAGACGAAUAAGAAAGCCGAACCGACAAACGCGAACACUAGAUUAGCCUCUACGUUAUCCGCGGACGAACUUCAAACCUUAGAAUAUACAAUGCUCGUGCUUUGCAGAUUAACGUAUAGUCGGCAACAAUUUCUUACCCAAUUUUGCGAUGCUGUUUACAUCGUAAAUGGAGUAAGAUUAUUACAGCAGUUAUUAAAUUUGGAGAAAAGAAAAGGACGCGUAGUCGCGGAUCUCGUUGCAAUUUUGACCAACAUAUUACGUUCUCAACCUGAGAAUGCUCAUCUAGUGGAAAAAGUUGUGUUUCAUUCGUAUUCAUCGGCGGUUUUAACGAUGCGUAUUUUUCUGGAAAAAGGAAAUUCGAUAGACCAGUUUGGUAAACUGCUUACGCAUCGACAAGCAACACUCAGAGCGAGAACCUGUCACUUGAUUCGCCUAUUGGGUAGAUUUUCUUGUCGAGCUUUGCAACAAAUCUGGGGUAAAUCUGUGAGGAAUUUGAUAGAGAAGUUAAUCAUUGACGAGGAUCAGACUGUAAGGCUCGUGAUGUCUGUGUAACAAGUUGUCGUUGUAGAUGGAUCGAUCGAAAGCAUUCAAUGGCAAUGUUGUCUGAUCGAUAAGGACAGUAUGCAACUUGGAAACGAUCGAAUUGGCUGAACCGCUUUCCGAAAUAUGUACAUGUACGUAUGUUUCGAUACGAUUUUACGUAAUAUACGAAUACAAGCCACGAACCGUUUCUUAAUUAUCGCCUCUCGCCGAGUAUAUUUUCUUUGGCCGUCUCGUACACAUCAGACAACCAAACGGUACAGUGGCAUGCGAAGUACGAGAGUCGUGAAAAUAGCGUAUUAACAAAAUUAGCAUAAGAGGAGAAAGUCGCGGUCGUCGGCCGCUCGACCACCUUUGCUUCAACUGCCGAAUCUGUGAAUUCUUCUGUGAACGACUCUUCCAACCAGCAGGAUAAAGAUACUGGUACACAAAGUGACAAAGAACCAACCAUCUCAACUACCAACCACUGCCAACCACGAUCAUAUCACUUUUUAACCCAAAUCCUUCUCCUUUUUCUUUUUCUUUUUCUUUUUCUUUUUCUUUUUCUUUUUCUUUUUCAGCUAUCCAUUUACUUAUUCAUCAUCCAUUGUUUAUCCGUUUGUUAACGAGUCGUUCAAGUUGGCAAAAAAUCCGAAAGAAGAAAUUGAAGUAAUUCGAUUGUAAGUAAGCGGUUGAAUGAACACGAUUCGUAUAAUAACUUUAAUUGCAUUCACACGAGCAAACUUGGAAAGUUCGUGGAAGAGAAACGAUGAUCUCUCGCGACCGAAGAAAAGGACCCUAACCUUGAUAACUGGAUUCAGCCAAUGACCCAAGUCGAUCGUUGCCCCUGAUCUACCUGCUUGUAGCUUACCGCAAGAAUUAGAGGGAGCAGGUAGAUAGCGUGCUACGUAUGCAGCAAUCUUGCCAUCUGUUUCAUCGUCAACCCCUUUCCAAGGAGCACUAUCUCAUUUCUCUAAGUCCCACUAAAAAUCCCAAUUUUCAGUAUAUUGAACAGGAUGAUUAGGUACUCGAAAGAGAAAAAAAGAAAAUGAAAGGAAAGGGAUAAGGAAAAGGAAAAGGUAUAUUUUUUGUUUCACAGAUCGAUUCCUCUGUUCAUUCUACGUAAAAAGGAAUUAGUUCUCGAGAUAUUUUCAAAAAAUGUUGUUAUCGAAGAAGACAUGCUCAAAACUUGAAUCAACUCUCUCUCUCCCCCUCUUCCUCUCCUUCUACCUGCUUUCUCUCUCGGCUCUCUCUCUUCUUCUCUCUCUUCAUUCUUUCUUCCUGGUUUUUUCUUUUUUAAACCAACACAGCGCAGCGGUUCGUUGGAGGAGAGCACCCUCCUUGUUGAGGCGGUUGCAUCGCGGUCGCCGUGCCAGUAAACAAAGGUCUGCUUGCUUACCGACUAAAAGGAUAGUAAUUGUGACCUGGGUUACCUGGCCGCAGCGAACUAAACGAGGUAGAUGUAGAGUCAACUUUGGAUUGGCUCCAUUUCACCCGAGAUAGAUAGAGAUAGGUAUGCGGCGAACGUUUUCUACAUUUUUCUGUACCUACCGUUAAUUGCACAUGCACUGUUUGGACUUGAAAAAAAAUCUAACGUCCUAUGAAUGUGGUGUUCGAGCCAUUUAUCUUUCUCUUAUGGAAUUUUUUAUUGUGAAUGCGCUAAUAACGGAGUUAUCAGCAGAAACACUUGCGUGACCCACCCUGUAUACGCAGAUAUAAUACGCAGCUAUAGGUGUUUAGUGGGAGGGACAUGAAAAGAGAGAAGAAGAGAGGGAUGGAGGAGGAAGAAAGGCUAAGAAUCGCUGAGAAAAGUUGCAUCGUUUGUCCGUGAGGAUUGACUCGCUACGGAGUUCGUUAUACUCUUGAAAGAGAAUCGACAAAAAGUCGACCAUUCUCUACCAUCACCGGCCAGCCAAUCAUUCGUGUUUCGCGAACCAGCGGUCCUUGGAGAAAAAUUCGUUUCAUCGAACCCAAAGUAGUCGUCCUUAAGUUGAACGAAAAAUAAUUUCAUUACUACAAGAGGUUGUAUAGCCUAUCGCGACCACGAAUCCAGUUCGAGCGUGACAAAGAUACACGAAAUUUUUAGAAUAUACUGGCGUGAUAACAUAAAUGUUUCUAAAUCUUUGGAACUUUUUGCCUGUAAAGUGUGAAUUUUUUUUUAAUAUGAAUUAAUCCGUAUCGU
This is a non-coding RNA of Osmia lignaria (orchard mason bee), 4617 nucleotides long. The record is from RefSeq and is a predicted model, not a curated record. Lineage: Eukaryota; Metazoa; Arthropoda; Insecta; Hymenoptera; Megachilidae.